ACUCUGGGACAAGCCUUGGAAACGAGGUCUAAUACCGGAUAUGACCUGCUCCUGCAUGGGAGUGGGUGGAAAGCUCCGGCGGUGCAGGAUGAUCCCGCGGCCUAUCAGCUUGUUGGUGGGGUAAUGGCCUACCAAGGCGACGACGGGUAGCCGGCCUGAGAGGGCGACCGGCCACACUGGGACUGAGACACGGCCCAGACUCCUACGGGAGGCAGCAGUGGGGAAUAUUGCACAAUGGGCGAAAGCCUGAUGCAGCGACGCCGCGUGAGGGAUGACGGCCUUCGGGUUGUAAACCUCUUUCAGCAGGGAAGAAGCGCAAGUGACGGUACCUGCAGAAGAAGCACCGGCUAACUACGUGCCA
RNAcentral lists this ribosomal RNA (361 nucleotides) under Kitasatospora paranensis. RNAcentral describes it as "bacterial SSU rRNA". It matches the Rfam family "Bacterial small subunit ribosomal RNA", at positions 135 to 510 of the family's 1533-position model. The record is from RNAcentral. Lineage: Bacteria; Bacillati; Actinomycetota; Actinomycetes; Kitasatosporales; Streptomycetaceae.